Long non-coding RNA from Eptesicus fuscus (big brown bat), 348 nucleotides. RefSeq lists it as uncharacterized. The transcript has 3 exons. The record is from RefSeq and is a predicted model, not a curated record. Lineage: Eukaryota; Metazoa; Chordata; Mammalia; Chiroptera; Vespertilionidae.
CAGGCGCGCAUGAUGAAGGCCAGCAGCGAGAUGAUGCGCUCCAGGAAGAGGUUGAAGAACAGGAUGGUCCCAGCGCAGCCGAACAGCCCGAAGAGUUGCUGCUGCUUGGAGUCUGAGCUGAAAAUGAAUCAUCUGUCUGAGUAGCACUAUAGCACCUUUCAACACCUCUGCAGCAAAGAUUCCCUGGAGGAAAUACCCACUUGCCUAACUGUGGUCUUGAUCUUAUGCCUAAUGACUCAAGUUAGGGGAAAAUCUUAUGAUCACGACCCUCACGUCGAGGAAGAUGGAUUAUAUCCCUAGAUUUAGAAUUUGGCCACAAGAGAAUGAAAAACCAAAUUAGCAAUGUAA